This 253-nucleotide ribosomal RNA is filed under the name uncultured bacterium. Its description in RNAcentral is "partial 16S ribosomal RNA". It matches the Rfam family "Bacterial small subunit ribosomal RNA", at positions 524 to 776 of the family's 1533-position model. The record is from RNAcentral.
UACGAAGGGGGCGAGCGUUGUUCGGAUUUACUGGGCGUAAAGGGCGCGUAGGCGGCCUUGUCAGUCAGGCGUGAAAGCCCGGGGCUCAACCCCGGGAGGCGGGUGGAUACUGUCAAGCUCGAGUCCGGAAGAGGAGUGUGGAAUUCCUGGUGUAGCGGUGAAAUGCGCAGAUAUCAGGAGGAACACCAAUGGCGAAGGCAGCACUCUGGGACGUGACUGACGCUGAGACGCGAAAGCGUGGGGAGCAAACAGG